AGUGAACGCUGGCGGUAGGCCUAACACAUGCAAGUCGAACGGCAGCACAGUAAGAGCUUGCUCUUACGGGUGGCGAGUGGCGGACGGGUGAGGAAUACAUCGGAAUCUACUUUUUCGUGGGGGAUAACGUAGGGAAACUUACGCUAAUACCGCAUACGGCCUACGGGUGAAAGCAGGGGAUCUUCGGACCUUGCGCGAUUGAAUGAGCCGAUGUCGGAUUAGCUAGUUGGCGGGGUAAAGGCCCACCAAGGCGACGAUCCGUAGCUGGUCUGAGAGGAUGAUCAGCCACACUGGAACUGAGGCACGGUCCAGACUCCUACGGGGGGCAGCAGUGGGGAAUAUUGGACAAUGGGCGCAAGCCUGAUCCAGCCAUACCGCGUGGGUGAAGAAGGCCUUCGGGUUGUAAAGCCCUUUUGUUGGGAAAGAAAAGCAGCAGGUUAAUACCCCGCUGUUCUGACGGUACCCAAAGAAUAAGCACCGGCUAACUUCGUG
Molecule: ribosomal RNA, 492 nt
Filed under: uncultured bacterium
Lineage: Bacteria
Description: partial 16S ribosomal RNA
Rfam family: Bacterial small subunit ribosomal RNA
Source: RNAcentral